UUAAGUUCAGCGGGUAUUCCUACCUGAUCCGAGGUCAACCUUAGAAAGAUAAAGGGUAGACCGGCCCGGAAGGUCCUUUAGACUCGACGCGUGCUUCCGAAGAUGCUCGUUGCGAAGAGGGUCCCACGGACGCCGUCAUUGUCUUUGAGACCAGUUGGCUUGCACCAACGCGGCCCAACACCAAACACGAGGGUUUGAGG
This 200-nucleotide unclassified non-coding RNA is filed under the name Chaetothyriales sp. RNAcentral describes it as "partial internal transcribed spacer 2". Lineage: Eukaryota; Fungi; Ascomycota; Eurotiomycetes; Chaetothyriales. The record is from RNAcentral.